This 74-nucleotide transfer RNA is filed under the name Enterobacteriaceae endosymbiont of Macroplea mutica. RNAcentral's name for it is "tRNA-Met". It matches the Rfam family "tRNA". From Rfam's summary of the family: Transfer RNA (tRNA) molecules are approximately 80 nucleotides in length. Their secondary structure includes four short double-helical elements and three loops (D, anti-codon, and T loops). Lineage: Bacteria; Pseudomonadati; Pseudomonadota; Gammaproteobacteria; Enterobacterales; Enterobacteriaceae. The record is from RNAcentral.
AGCUAUGUAGCUUAAGUGGUUAGAGCACAGCACUCAUAACGCUGAGAUUAUGGGUUCGAGUCCCAUCAUAGCUA